UGCCAGCAGCCGCGGUAAUACGGAGGGGGUUAGCGUUGUUCGGAAUUACUGGGCGUAAAGCGCACGUAGGCGGAUUAGAAAGUUGGGGGUGAAAUCCCAGGGCUCAACCCUGGAACUGCCUCCAAAACUACUAGUCUUGAGUUCGAGAGAGGUGAGUGGAAUUCCGAGUGUAGAGGUGAAAUUCGUAGAUAUUCGGAGGAACACCAGUGGCGAAGGCGGAUUCCUGGGCUGGCACUGACACUGAGGAGCGAAAGCGUGGGUAGCAAACAGGAUUAGAUA
RNAcentral lists this ribosomal RNA (279 nucleotides) under uncultured bacterium. RNAcentral describes it as "partial 16S ribosomal RNA". It matches the Rfam family "Bacterial small subunit ribosomal RNA", at positions 506 to 784 of the family's 1533-position model. The record is from RNAcentral.